Molecule: ribosomal RNA, 352 nt
Filed under: uncultured Acholeplasma sp.
Lineage: Bacteria; Bacillati; Mycoplasmatota; Mollicutes; Acholeplasmatales; Acholeplasmataceae
Description: bacterial SSU rRNA
Rfam family: Bacterial small subunit ribosomal RNA
Source: RNAcentral
CGGGGAGACAGGUGGUGCAUGGUGUCGUCAGCUCGUGUCGUGAGAUGUUGGGUUAAGUCCCGCAACGAGCGCAACCCCUAUUGCUAGUUACCAUCAUUAAGUUGGGGACUCUAGCGAGACUGCCAGUGAUAAACUGGAGGAAGGUGGGGAUGACGUCAAAUCAUCAUGCCCCUUAUGACCUGGGCUACAAACGUGAUACAAUGGCUGGAACAAAGGGAUGCGAAGCAGUGAUGUGGAGCGAAACCCAUAAAACAGUCUCAGUUCGGAUUGAAGUCUGCAACUCGACUUCAUGAAGUCGGAAUCGCUAGUAAUCGCGGAUCAGAACGCCGCGGUGAAUACGUUCUCGGGGUUU